This 253-nucleotide ribosomal RNA is filed under the name uncultured bacterium. RNAcentral's name for it is "partial 16S ribosomal RNA". It matches the Rfam family "Bacterial small subunit ribosomal RNA", at positions 524 to 776 of the family's 1533-position model. The record is from RNAcentral.
UACGAAGGGGGCUAGCGUUGUUCGGAAUUACUGGGCGUAAAGCGCACGUAGGCGGACAUUUAAGUCAGGGGUGAAAUCCCAGAGCUCAACUCUGGAACUGCCUUUGAUACUGGGUGUCUUGAGUAUGGAAGAGGUGAGUGGAAUUCCGAGUGUAGAGGUGAAAUUCGUAGAUAUUAGGAAGAACACCAGUGGCGAAGGCGGCUCACUGGCCCGGUACUGACGCUGAGGCGCGAAAGCGUGGGGAGCAAACAGG